RNAcentral lists this long non-coding RNA (520 nucleotides) under Trifolium pratense (red clover). RNAcentral describes it as "long non-coding RNA (TPRA_LNC009247)". Lineage: Eukaryota; Viridiplantae; Streptophyta; Magnoliopsida; Fabales; Fabaceae. The record is from RNAcentral.
GAUGAUAAACAAAGUUGCCUAAAACCAAUGGAUUGAUUGCUUUUAUAUUAAUUAAAUUCGUAAUCUCUGUUAUUGCUUCCACAAACAAAAAAACCCCAAAUUGCAACCUUUAAAUUCAUUCUAAUAUUGUUAAACCGAUCGUGAGUCCUUGCGAAACGACCAAGGUCACUACCUUGUACUACUUAUUUUAAAAUUAUUUUGAUCAUAUAUCACCUUAUUGUUUUGUCAUCCAAUUGAGUAAGACUCAUAGGAUAAAUAUGAGUCUUGUUGUAAAGAUUCACAUGGAUGGUAUUGUGAAUACCUUUAUGGUGUGAUUGAAUGUGAAAGGUUUCACACAAAUCAUGAUGCAAUUAUGAUGAAACCUUUAUUUCAAUCAUAGUGCUUAAACUCAUUUGAUUCCAAUUGCAAUUAUUGUAUGUUUUACUAUGAGUUCUGGCAGAUGGACAGCGAGGUUAUAUUCCUUAAUUGGAAUGACCUUACAUAUGUAUUUGACAUAUGGACGGGGUUUCGUUAAUCUAAA